Molecule: long non-coding RNA, 546 nt
Organism: Homo sapiens (human)
Lineage: Eukaryota; Metazoa; Chordata; Mammalia; Primates; Hominidae
Source: Ensembl
GUCUGCCUGGAGGGAACCCAGAGUGGCAGGGAAAGACCUGAACUAGGGGCUGGCCCCAGAUCUUGAUUCGACUUUUGUAAAAUGCAGAGAUGCCACUGCUUUCUGGGGCUAAGGUCUUCUUUUUCAGGGUCGGCUGAAUGCUAGGAAGUAAACCUGGUGGGUAGGGGGAGCUGUGCAGUGGGAGUAGCCAGCCAGGUUGUUGGGGGCCUGGGCCCAGAGGGGCAACUCUCUAAGGAGAUGCAGUUGGGAGCUCUGAGCUGGAACCUGCAGAAGUCAUUGGCUCCAGCCAGAGCCAGUCAGAGUCAUCUCAAGCCGAGCCCAGUCCAGGCAUCUACAGACAAAUUUGGAAUCUCUAUAUCUGUAUAUUCCACAAGGAGGGAUACUAUAGAGAGGAAAGAGCUCCUCCAUUAAGGUCCUGACUUUGCCCGAACUCACUGUGUGACUUUGGGCAACUUACUUCAGCUUUCUGCACCGCGUUUUCGCUUCUGGAAGGUGAGGAGAGGGCUUUCUGUCUGCCUGGCUGACACCAUUGUUGUGAGAAUCAAA